Molecule: ribosomal RNA, 429 nt
Filed under: Acidobacteriota bacterium
Lineage: Bacteria; Pseudomonadati; Acidobacteriota
Description: Acidobacteria bacterium partial 16S ribosomal RNA
Rfam family: Bacterial small subunit ribosomal RNA
Source: RNAcentral
UGGGGAAGUUUGGACAAUGGGGGAAACCCUGAUCCAGCCAUCCCGCGUGUGCGAUGAAGGCCUUCGGGUUGUAAAGCACUUUUGGCAGGAAAGAAACGUCAUGGGUUAAUACCCCGUGAAACUGACGGUACCUGCAGAAUAAGCACCGGCUAACUACGUGCCAGCAGCCGCGGUAAUACGUAGGGUGCAAGCGUUAAUCGGAAUUACUGGGCGUAAAGCGUGCGCAGGCGGUUCGGAAAGAAAGAUGUGAAAUCCCAGAGCUCAACUUUGGAACUGCAUUUUUAACUACCGGGCUAGAGUGUGUCAGAGGGAGGUGGAAUUCCGCGUGUAGCAGUGAAAUGCGUAGAUAUGCGGAGGAACACCGAUGGCGAAGGCAGCCUCCUGGGAUAACACUGACGCUCAUGCACGAAAGCGUGGGGAGCAAACAGG